AAUUGGAGGAAGAUGGUUUCCAUUCCUUUUUAUCUUCCUCUUUGUGAAAUUUCUGCAUUUGUCUUGGGUGCGUUUGUUGUUUUCAGGUGCAAUUUCUUUUAAGUAUUUACUGUAUGCAAAAUACUAUCCUAAGCAUUUGAGAGAAUACAAUAGAGUGGGGAGACAGAUCCCUGCCCUCAAGGAAUUUACAAUCUAAUGGGAUCACAACGUGAUUAUGCUUAAAUUUGUGUUUUACCUUUAUAUGGGCCUAAACCUAUCCUUCCCUCAGAACAAAUAGCAGUCCUGGGAGCAAACCAUUUUCCAUUUUAAAAGAAAACAGGGCAGGGGCGGAUCCAAGAAUCCGGAGGCCUGGCUAAGCCUUUAAGGCUUAAUAUUCAAUCUUGUGUGCUAAUUUCUCGAGAGACUAAAGAAUGUGAAUUGUAAGAUUUAAACUAUACUUUUACACUUUCCUGAAAACACUGUUAAAAAGGCAAUAAUUGGCUGACUGGUAGAGGGAGUGUCAAUGCCUCUCUUUGAGCUCUCCCAGGUUCAAUAAAUUCCACUGAUUCCGUGAUCAGUGAUUAGCUUUAUGUCAUAGCCCCGGGCCACUACUUCACCUAAGAAGGAUUUGAUACAAGUGAAUGGGGAGACACCUGAUGACAGAGUUGGAGCUGAGCCAGUAGCAGUUCAGGAAUUGAGUUAAUGACCUUGGAGUAGGUGAGGGUAUUAAAGACUUAAGAGCGAAGGGGUCAAGACUAUGAGGGAUGAGCUAGCAAAGAUGGUGGAUUCAGUGAAGUUAAGAGGAAGGCAUAUGAAGAAAGGCUGCAGUCUGAGCAUAUUGAAUGUGGAGCACUAAGAACUUGGGAGAAGAAAAGAUUCCUGCCAUAAGAAGCUUAAAGUCUGGAAGGAGAAUGAGACAUUAAUUUAUAAAUAAGAGGAAGUGCUUAAAUAGUAAAGAACACAAAACCAUACAAAAAUGUAAUGAGCAGUAAGUAGUAAUUGCUAAGAAGAAGAUAGUAACCAGGGAAAGCAUCCUGAAGGAGGU
RNAcentral lists this long non-coding RNA (1024 nucleotides) under Ornithorhynchus anatinus (platypus). RNAcentral describes it as "lncRNA (ENSOANG00000051167.1)". The record is from RNAcentral. Lineage: Eukaryota; Metazoa; Chordata; Mammalia; Monotremata; Ornithorhynchidae.